GUUUGUUGCCAUAUCUAUGUAGCAACUCUAUCUCCCCAAUCUUAGAAGCUAAGCAUGGCUGAGUGUGGCAAAUACCUGGAAGGGAGACCAUCUGAAGAGACCUGUGACCCAUU
Molecule: ribosomal RNA, 113 nt
Filed under: Monopterus albus (swamp eel)
Lineage: Eukaryota; Metazoa; Chordata; Actinopteri; Synbranchiformes; Synbranchidae
Source: RNAcentral